This 406-nucleotide ribosomal RNA is filed under the name Myroides odoratimimus. Its description in RNAcentral is "bacterial SSU rRNA". It matches the Rfam family "Bacterial small subunit ribosomal RNA", at positions 156 to 557 of the family's 1533-position model. Lineage: Bacteria; Pseudomonadati; Bacteroidota; Flavobacteriia; Flavobacteriales; Flavobacteriaceae. The record is from RNAcentral.
AUUCAGAUUAAUGCUCCAUGGUUUAUCGAUAUGGCAUCGUAUUGAUAAUAAAGAUUUAUCGGUNUAAGAUGGGCAUGCGUAUCAUUAGCUAGCUGGUGUGGUAACGGCAUACCAAGGCAACGAUGAUUAGGGGUCCUGAGAGGGAGAUCCCCCACACUGGUACUGAGACACGGACCAUACUCCUACGGGAGGCAGCAGUGAGGAAUAUUGGUCAAUGGAGGCAACUCUGGAACCAGCCAUGCCGCGUGCAGGAUGACGGUCCUAUGGAUUGUAAACUGCUUUUGUACAGGAAGAAACCUCCCUACGAGUAGNGACUUGACGGUACUGUAAGGAAUAAGGAUCGGCUAACUCCGUGCCAGCAGCCGCGGUAAUACGGAGGAUCCGAGCGUUAUCCGGGAAUUAUUGG